This 403-nucleotide ribosomal RNA is filed under the name uncultured bacterium. RNAcentral describes it as "bacterial SSU rRNA". It matches the Rfam family "Bacterial small subunit ribosomal RNA", at positions 355 to 776 of the family's 1533-position model. The record is from RNAcentral.
UGAGGAAUUUUCCACAAUGGACGAAAGUCUGAUGGAGCGACGCCGUGUGGGUGAUGAAGUCCUUCGGGACGUAAAGCCCUGUCAGGGGGGACGAUAAUGACGGUACCCCAAGAGGAAGCCACGGCUAACUACGUGCCAGCAGCCGCGGUAAUACGUAGGUGGCGAGCGUUGUCCGGAAUCAUUGGGCGUAAAGCGCGUGUAGGUGGUUUUGCAAGUCAGAUGUUAAAAACUUCGGCUCAACCGAGGUUCGCGUCUGAAACUGCAAAACUAGAGAGGAUCAGAGGAAAGCGGAACUUCCGGUGUAGCGGUGAAAUGCGUAGAUAUCGGAAGGAACACCAGUGGCGAAGGCGGCUUUCUGGGAUUUUUCUGACACUGAGACGCGAAAGCCAGGGGAGAGAACGGG